UGACAAGAAACACUUAGGUUUUUUCUUCUUCUUGCAUAUAUAGGAACAAGACCCAGGAAACCAUAGGCUAGUUUAAUCAUCAUGUCAAUUAAAUGAACGAGCAGCAGCAUUGGUUAGGAGCAACUUCUGCCUCCUGCAUACUGCCUUCCUCAGCCAGAAGGGGAUGGGGAAGAAGACAGGCUCUUCCCCUAGGAAUACAAGAACUAAAAAGAGCAUGACUGGAUCAAUUUCGUGUAGUUAGUGUGACCUUGAACUAG
This is a long non-coding RNA of Mesocricetus auratus (golden hamster), 257 nucleotides long. RefSeq lists it as uncharacterized. The transcript is spliced from 3 exons. Lineage: Eukaryota; Metazoa; Chordata; Mammalia; Rodentia; Cricetidae. The record is from RefSeq and is a predicted model, not a curated record.